This 499-nucleotide ribosomal RNA is filed under the name uncultured bacterium. RNAcentral's name for it is "partial 16S ribosomal RNA". It matches the Rfam family "Bacterial small subunit ribosomal RNA", at positions 28 to 507 of the family's 1533-position model. The record is from RNAcentral.
GACGAACGCUGGCGGCGUGCCUAAUACAUGCAAGUCGAGCGAAGUUUUUCUGGUGCUUGCACUAGAAACACUUAGCGGCGAACGGGUGAGUAACACGUAAAGAACCUGCCUCAUAGACUGGGACAACUAUUGGAAACGAUAGCUAAUACCGGAUAACAGUAUUUCUCGCAUGAGAGAUAUUUAAAAGUUGGUUAUGCUAACACUAUGAGAUGGCUUUGCGGUGCAUUAGCUAGUUGGUGGGGUAAAGGCCCACCAAGGCGACGAUGCAUAGCCGACCUGAGAGAGUGAUCGGCCAAACUGGGACUGAGACACGGCCCAGACUCCUACGGGAGGCAGCAGUAGGGAAUCUUCCGCAAUGGGCGAAAGCCUGACGGAGCAACGCCGCGUGAGUGACGAAGGAUUUCGGUUCGUAAAGCUCUGUUGUUAGGGAAGAAUGGAUAUGUAGUAACUAUACAUGUAAGAGACGGUACCUAGCCAGAAAGCCACGGCUAACUACGUG